RNAcentral lists this ribosomal RNA (400 nucleotides) under uncultured Alphaproteobacteria bacterium. RNAcentral describes it as "bacterial SSU rRNA". It matches the Rfam family "Bacterial small subunit ribosomal RNA", at positions 61 to 507 of the family's 1533-position model. Lineage: Bacteria; Pseudomonadati; Pseudomonadota; Alphaproteobacteria. The record is from RNAcentral.
GUCGAACGAACCCUUCGGGGUUAGUGGCGCACGGGUGCGUAACGCGUGGGAACCUGCCUUUAGGUUCGGAAUAACUCAGAGAAAUUUGAGCUAAUACCGGAUAAUGUCUUCGGACCAAAGAUUUAUCGCCUUUAGAUGGGCCCGCGUUAGAUUAGAUAGUUGGUGGGGUAAUGGCCUACCAAGUCGACGAUCUAUAGCUGGUCUGAGAGGAUGAUCAGCCACACUGGGACUGAGACACGGCCCAGACUCCUACGGGAGGCAGCAGUGGGGAAUAUUGGACAAUGGGCGAAAGCCUGAUCCAGCAAUGCCGCGUGAGUGAUGAAGGCCUUAGGGUUGUAAAGCUCUUUUACCAGGGAUGAUAAUGACAGUACCUGGAGAAUAAGCUCCGGCUAACUCCGUG